CUGAAACUGCCUCCAUGAUGGCAGGACACAAAAUAAUCCUGAAACCUGAAAUACCCAUAAUGUCUUGGGUGAUGUCAGAGGAACACUCUGUAACGAAGGCAGUGCCCAGAAGAGUUCCUGAAUAAAAUGGAAAUGGUUUAUUCAGGAGUCUGCUGCUCAGGGAAUGCAAGGAGGUGCUAAUGGUAUUCAGGAGCAGGAAGCCUCUUUCCCCCUAGGGCCAACUUUGGAAGCACCGAGGAGCUGAUGGAUCCUAGUGCCACAUAGGAGGGGCCCUAUGAACAGCUCUUGGUUGAACAACAAAAAGCUGCUUGGUUUAUGGGUAGAAAGACCUUGUUUGGAAGGCCUUUGCACUCUGACUGAGGAUGGAAAAUCUUUGAAGAAGGUAAGAACAAAUCACCUCAGUGGACUGAAUUGCAUGCUGUUUUCCUUGCAGUGAUAGAAGAAUCGAAUGAUAAAAGCCCCUGUGUUUGGGUUUUUGCUGACUUAUGGGCAGUAGCCAAUGGCCUGGCAGAUGGGCAGUGAAAAACUGAACUAUUAAAGUGUUGCCCACCUGGGGCAUAACCCUAUGGAAAGUGGCCCCACGACUAGGACUGCAAAUGUGGGUGUCAGAAGAAGGGACAAUUCUCAAAGAAAAAACUGCAACUGGCUGGGUGCAGUGGCUCACGCCUGUGAUCCCAGCACUUUGGGAGGCUGAGGAGGGCGGAUCACAAGGUCAGGAGAACGAGACCAUCCUGGCUAACACGAUGAAACCCCGUCUCUACUAAAAAGUACAAAAAAUUAGCCAGGCAUGGUGGCAGGUGCCUGUAGUCCCAG
This 813-nucleotide long non-coding RNA is filed under the name Pan troglodytes (chimpanzee). RNAcentral's name for it is "long non-coding RNA NONPTRT002873". Lineage: Eukaryota; Metazoa; Chordata; Mammalia; Primates; Hominidae. The record is from RNAcentral.